This 479-nucleotide ribosomal RNA is filed under the name uncultured bacterium. RNAcentral describes it as "bacterial SSU rRNA". It matches the Rfam family "Bacterial small subunit ribosomal RNA", at positions 330 to 801 of the family's 1533-position model. The record is from RNAcentral.
ACCGUACUCCUACGGGAGGCAGCAGUGGGGAAUUUUGGACAAUGGGGGCAACCCUGAUCCAGCAAUGCCGCGUGAGUGAAGAAGGCCUUCGGGUUGUAAAGCUCUUUUGUCAGGGAAGAAACGGUAGUAGCUAAUAUCUAUUACUAAUGACGGUACCUGAAGAAUAAGCACCGGCUAACUACGUGCCAGCAACCGCGGUAAUACGUAGGGUGCAAGCGUUAAUCGGAAUUACUGGGCGUAAAGCGUGCGCAGGCGGUUGUGUAAGUCAGAUGUGAAAUCCCCGGGCUCAACCUGGGAAUUGCAUGCGAGACUGCACGGCUAGAGUGUGUCAGAGGGGGGUAGAAUUCCACGUGUAGCAGUGAAAUGCGUAGGUAUGUGGAGGAAUACCGAUGGCGAAGGCAGCCCCCUGGGAUAACACUGACGCUCAUGCACGAAAGCGUGGGGAGCAAGCAGGAUUAGAUACCCUGGUAGUCCUUGAC